UCGGGAAUAUUGCGCAAUGGAGGAAACUCUGACGCAGUGACGCCGCGUAUGGGAAGAAGGUUUUCGGAUUGUAAACCAUUUUAGACAAGGAAGAAAAAAGACAGUACUUGUAGAAUAAGCUCCGGCUAACUACGUGCCAGCAGCCGCGGUAAUACGUAGGGAGCAAGCGUUAUCCGGAUUUAUUGGGUGUAAAGGGUGCGUAGACGGGAAGGUAAGUUAGUUGUGAAAUCCCUCGGCUCAACUGAGGAACUGCGACUAAACCGCUUUUCUUGAGUACUGGAGAGGAAAGUGGAAUUCCUAGUGUAGCGGUGAAAUGCGUAGAUAUUAGGAGGAACACCAGUGGCGAAGGCGACUUUCUGGACAGUAACUGACGUUGAGGCACGAAAGUGUGGGGAGCAAACAGGAUUAGAUACC
RNAcentral lists this ribosomal RNA (414 nucleotides) under uncultured bacterium. RNAcentral's name for it is "bacterial SSU rRNA". It matches the Rfam family "Bacterial small subunit ribosomal RNA", at positions 355 to 786 of the family's 1533-position model. The record is from RNAcentral.